GCCAGGACUGGUCAGGAGCAGAGAGGGGAUCAAUGGAGGAGCUCAGUCAGCUGUGACCGCCGACUGUCAGACACUCGACGGAUGGAUCGGUGCGUCAGCAGGUUCUUAAAACCUCCACUGAAUACGUCCUAGACAUCUUCUGUCAAUAAUAAAGACCUGCCACCAAGAAUUCACAUUGAGCUGCAUCAGUUCCUGCAGUUUAACCUGAAUCGUCAGCGGCAGAUUUACCACCAGAACACCAGCAGCUCAUCUGAAUCGACCGCCCAUCUGUUCGCACCAAAACAUGGCAGAGAGGGGCGGCAAAUAGUUUCCACU
Molecule: long non-coding RNA, 315 nt
Organism: Oreochromis aureus
Lineage: Eukaryota; Metazoa; Chordata; Actinopteri; Cichliformes; Cichlidae
Exons: 3
Source: RefSeq, a predicted model, not a curated record